CCUACGGGCGACAGCAGUGGGGAAUAUUGGGCAAUGGGCGCAAGCCUGACCCAGCAACGCCGCGUGAAGGAAGAAGGCUUUCGGGUUGUAAACUUCUUUUCUGAGGGACGAAGAAAGUGACGGUACCUCAGGAAUAAGCACCGGCUAACUACGUGCCAGCAGCCGCGGUAAUACGUAGGUGGCAAGCGUUAUCCGGAUUUAUUGGGUGUAAAUGGCGUGUAGGCGGGAAAGCAAGUCAGAUGUGAAAACUCAGGGCUCAACCCUGAGCCUGCAUAAGAAACUGUUUUUCUUGAGUGCUGGAGAGGCAAUCAGAAUUCCGUGUGUAGCGGUGAAAUGCGUAGAUAUACGGAGGAACACCAGUGGCGAAGGCGGAUUGCUGGACAGUAACUGACGCUGAGGCGCGAAAGCGUGGGGAGCAAACAGGAUUAGAUACCCGAGUAGUC
RNAcentral lists this ribosomal RNA (443 nucleotides) under uncultured bacterium. RNAcentral describes it as "partial 16S ribosomal RNA". It matches the Rfam family "Bacterial small subunit ribosomal RNA", at positions 338 to 795 of the family's 1533-position model. The record is from RNAcentral.